AGGAAAGUAGGGGAUCGAAAGACCUUAUGCUUUUGGAGCGGCCGAUGUCUGAUUAGCUAGUUGGUGGGGUAAUGGCCUACCAAGGCAACGAUCAGUAGUUGGUCUGAGAGGACGACCAGCCACACUGGGACUGAGACACGGCCCAGACUCCUACGGGAGGCAGCAGUGGGGAAUUUUGGACAAUGGGCGAAAGCCUGAUCCAGCAAUGCCGCGUGAGUGAAGAAGGCCUUCGGGUUGUAAAGCUCUUUCAGUUGAGAAGAAAAGAUCGUGGCUAAUAAUCACGAUUUAUGACGGUAUCAACAGAAGAAGCACCGGCUAACUACGUGCCAGCAGCCGCGGUAAUACGUAGGGUGCGAGCGUUAAUCGGAAUUACUGGGCGUAAAGGGUGCGCAGGCGGUUCUGUAAGUCAGAUGUGAAAUCCCCGGGCUUAACCUGGGAAUUGCGUUUGAAACUACAAAGCU
This 461-nucleotide ribosomal RNA is filed under the name uncultured beta proteobacterium. Its description in RNAcentral is "bacterial SSU rRNA". It matches the Rfam family "Bacterial small subunit ribosomal RNA", at positions 200 to 642 of the family's 1533-position model. Lineage: Bacteria; Pseudomonadati; Pseudomonadota; Betaproteobacteria. The record is from RNAcentral.